AUAUAAAUUCAUGACUGGGUUAAUGCACCAUAUCCCAUCAAAACUACACAGUUAAGCACAUUUGGGCUAGAGUAGCAUUGGGAUGGGUGACCUUUCAAGAAGUCCUAGUGUUGCACC
Picea glauca (white spruce) is the source of this 117-nucleotide non-coding RNA. NCBI's taxonomy places the organism in Eukaryota, Viridiplantae, Streptophyta, Pinopsida, Pinales, Pinaceae. The record is from Rfam.